GAUGAACGCUGGCGGCGUGCCUAAUACAUGCAAGUCGAGCGAACAGACGAGGAGCUUGCUCCUUUGACGUUAGCGGCGGACGGGUGAGUAACACGUGGAUAACCUACCUAUAAGACUGGGAUAACUUCGGGAAACCGGAGCUAAUACCGGAUAACAUGUUGAACCGCAUGGUUCAACAGUGAAAGACGGUCUUGCUGUCACUUAUAGAUGGAUCCGCGCCGCAUUAGCUAGUUGGUAAGGUGACGGCUUACCAAGGCAACGAUGCGUAGCCGACCUGAGAGGGUGAUCGGCCACACUGGAACUGAGACACGGUCCAGACUCCUACGGGAGGCAGCAGUAGGGAAUCUUCCGCAAUGGGCGAAAGCCUGACGGAGCAACGCCGCGUGAGUGAAGAAGGUCUUCGGAUCGUAAAACUCUGUUAUUAGGGAAGAACAAAUGUGUAAGUAACUAUGCACGUCUUGACGGUACCUAAUCAGAAAGCCACGGCUAACUACGUG
RNAcentral lists this ribosomal RNA (497 nucleotides) under uncultured bacterium. RNAcentral describes it as "partial 16S ribosomal RNA". It matches the Rfam family "Bacterial small subunit ribosomal RNA", at positions 28 to 507 of the family's 1533-position model. The record is from RNAcentral.